This 664-nucleotide long non-coding RNA is filed under the name Parus major (Great Tit). RNAcentral's name for it is "lncRNA (ENSPMJG00000004450.1)". The record is from RNAcentral. Lineage: Eukaryota; Metazoa; Chordata; Aves; Passeriformes; Paridae.
AUAAACCAGUACUUAUGGCAGGUUUACACAGUGUUUGCUCCUGAUAAAAAUGUUGGUUUUGCCCACUGUUUUGGAAACUCCAGAAAACUGGAGGGAAAAGGGCUCCCAAGUUACUUAUGCACUUCUGUUGGUCUAUUUGUAAUUUUUUUACUACUUUUUAAUUAGCAGCUGUAUGUUCUGGUAUUUAGUUCCUGCACUGCUGCUCUUGACCCACUGGCCUGUCUGCUUUCCAGAAGCUGGAUGGAUGAACUUGGAACAACCUCUGAAGUGAUUACCCUGGCAAGAACAGCGAGUUCCUCCUGAGGAGGCAUUAAAGUCAGUUCAUGUGAUGCACACUUUUGGGUUCCCACCUCCCACAGGAACACAUCAGAAGACAAGAAAUAAUGUGACCUCUAAAGCUGCAGCAGGGGACUGCCAGAGGUGCCCAGAUGUUCCUGUGUUUCUGAGCAGGGCACUGCCUGAGCCACUCAUUCCAGAACUUGAGUAUGUCUCUCUCCUUUGUCCUUUGGGUAUUGGAUUGAGAAUCCCAGAAGAGUUUGGGUUGGAUGGGACCUUGAGGAUCAUCCUGCUAGCAUUCAGGAACACACAUAAUCACAGAAUGAUUAUAUGAAGGUGUUUUAUUGGAGAGCUCUGGGUGUCAGGGGUACACAGACCCAAAUCUGAC